UUUUUUUUUUUUUUUUGAGAUGAAGUCUCACUGUGUUGUCCAGUGUGGUCUUAGCUCUGAGAUCAAGCAGUCUUCCUGCCUCAGCCUUCACAGUAGCUGGGACCACAGGGGUGUGACAUUAGACCCUAGAUAAUUUUUUCUUUCUUAUUUUCUUUUAUUAUUAUUAUUUAGUGUGUGUGAGACCCACAUUCAUAGACAAACCAAAUAAUAUUGAAGAAAUAUAUCAGGUGCUGAUAUGUGCUGAGAUGAAAAUGAAGCAGGACAGGCGAGUGGUGUGGAGAUAGUUUUCAAUGGAGGGGCAGUCAGUGAAGGCUUUUGUGGAGGUAGCAUUUGAACAAAGACCUGCAGGAAGGAGGAAAGACCCAUGUGGCUGGGGACAAGUGCUGUGGGCAGAUGAAACCUCAUGUACAAAGGCCCUGUGGUAGAGAGCACUUCCCCUGCCUCUUCGCUUGUGUUCCUCAGUGAGCAGCAGCACCCGGAAGGUCACUCUGCCCAACCUCCCCUGGGGGCCCUGCAAAUUCUGGGUGACGGCGGCCACCAUUGCAGGACAAGGCCCACCAGGUCCCAGCCUCCAGUUCCAUCUGCCAGGUAGAGGCUGGGGCGGGACUGCCUACUCCACUUGAGGGAGGGGGUGUCUGGAGUCUUCACAUGGGCUUCAGGGCAGGGACAAAAUGACUUGAGGUGGAGGAUCAGUAUGUGGGGGGUUCUGGGGGUUGAACCUAGAUCUGUGUGCAUACUGAGCACAUCUCUACCACUAUGCUGCACCCCCCAGCCCUCACUUUGUAAUUCUCACUGGCCUUGAACACGCUUUGCAGCCCAGGCUAGCCUUGAACUCCUGGCGAUCAUCCUGCCUCAGCCUCCUGUGUACUAGGAUGACAGGCAUGUGCCACCACUCCUCAUUUCUAGGGGCCUUUUUAUUCUGCUAAUGCUGCAGACUCUUACCAGGCCUGGAGUCUCCCAUGGUUUCACCCUACUCACUCUGAGCUGUCGACACUGUCCUACUCACGAGUCCCGCCCCUUCUCAAGAUUCCUAGUCCCUCCCACAUAUAAGCCCCACCCACUCUGUCACCCAAGCCCCGACCCAUCCACAAGCUUACAUCUUUCCCAGUUUCCUGGCAUCCAAAACAUCUCUCCUCUCUGUCCUGCAGGGAAUACUUUGAGCUGGGGACUCCUGCCCCGGAUCCUGUGCCUGUGGGCCUUGCUCCAGCUGGGCUGCUGCCUGGGCCUGGCCACCUCUGGAAGGUGCCUCCACCUGAGACACAAGGUGCUCCCCCGUUGGGUCGUGGAGAAGGUUCCUGAUCCUGCCAACAGCCAUUCUGGCCACCCCCACAUAGAGCAGGUGUCUCAGCCCCAGCCCCAGCCCCUUGGGGAUGCUCCCAUCCUGGAAGUGGAAGAGAUGGAGCCACUGCCACUUAUGGAACCGCCCCAGGCCUCCACCCCACUUCACUCUGGGUAUGAGAAACACUUCAUGCCCACCCCAGAGGAGCUGGGCCUUCUGGGGUCCCCCAGUCCCCAUGUGCUGGCCUAAGCCUUGCCAGGGGGGGCUGCAGAACAGGCUAAGGGUGCUCAUGCAGGCUGCACCCUGCCCUGGGGUGAGCCCACAUAACAGAUGAUGACACUGAGGCCCAGCAAGGCUGAGCCACUUGCCCGAAGGCAUCCAAUCGGAAGAGUGGGGACUAGGGGACCCUAUAGAGAAGGGCCCAGACUCAGUAGGGAAUGCAUGGGUGGAUCAGUGUGUAAAGGAAAAUGCGUGAUAUCAAGAGGGGAGCUGCCUCCCACAAUCCUACUGGAGCAGAACUGCACCUGUGCACAGUCCCAGCCUCCCGUGCAGCUGGACCAACCAAGGGCUGAGUUCUUACAAUGCAAUGUGGGCAGAAGUGACAUGGGCCAAUGUCAGGAGCUGGUAGGCCUGAAACACUGGGUGGAGGCUCCUCCACACUCUUCUGGUGAGCUAGAACAUAAAUGUGCUCAUGACCUAGCUUUGACAUAGCCCGGGGGGAAACCAAUGCAACGGAACUUGAGUCCCCAAGUGACUGUAGGUCAGAGCCUGAAUCCCUGAGUGACCAGAUGCGUGAACCUCAAUCCCUCAGUGACCAUAUGGAAAAGAGCCUGAAUCCCUCAGUGGUCACAUAGAUAAGAGCCUGAAUCCCUCAGUAACCACAUGGGUAAGAGCCCAAGUCAAUCCUGAGUGACUAUGAAGAUCACAGCCUGAAUUGCCCAGGGACUACAUGGGCUAGAGCCUGAGUCCUCGAGUGACCAUAUGGACUGAGCCUAAAUCACCCACUGAACCCAUGGAUAAUGGACUGAAUCCCUCAGUGACCACAUGAGUCAGAGCCUGAAUCUGAGAGAUUGUAGAUCAGAGUCUGAAUCCCCCAGGGACCGUAAGGAUCAGAGCCAAUUCUCAAGUGACCAUAUGCAUUAGCGCCUGAAUCCUCGAAAAACCACACAAGAGCCCAAAUACCUGAGCGACUGCACAAAUCGGAGCCUAAAUCACUAAGUGAUUACCUGGAUUAGAGCCUUAAUUCCUGAGUGACCACCUGAAUCAGAAAAUGAAUCCCCAAGGAACUUCCUGGGUCUGAAUCCCUGAAUGUCCACAUGCGUCAGAACCACGAUAAACUCAUCUUUUUGUUACUGUAGCUUGAGAUAACUUUGUUACAGCAACCAGUCCGUAUACUCGCUGACUCACAUUUUUUGUCCCAGAAGAAUUAGGCCUUCAGUUUCCCACCAGAUCACGAGGUGAUUCUGUGCCAACAACACACACUUUCCAGCUGAGUGCUUAGACAUUUUAUUUUCAAGUAUAAAGGCUUUGUCACAGAAGGGAGCCGGGGUCACAGGCAGUGGGCAAGGAGUCUGGAAGCCCAGGCAUAAGUGGAUGUGAGGGCCGGCUGGCGGCCGGGUGCCAUGGCCAGUCCUGUGGUGCCCUGCCUGUGCCCGGGACCCCCUGCUGGAUUCCAGGAGGCGAGGUAGCUGUGAGAGGCACUAGGUGGGGCACGGGCGCAGGCUCACAUCACCGCACAGCACUGGCACGUCUUCUGCUUGGGGCCGCUUGCCUCCUCACCCUCGGCGUGGGAGGUGGGCUCAGGC
Molecule: long non-coding RNA, 3084 nt
Organism: Fukomys damarensis (Damara mole-rat)
Lineage: Eukaryota; Metazoa; Chordata; Mammalia; Rodentia; Bathyergidae
Source: Ensembl